UAAGAAACUUUGAAUGACCUAGUAAGUUAGUGGGCUGUGUUAGAGAGUGGGAGUCGGUGAAAACCCAUCAGCAUGAUAACUGAAUUUCAGUCAGGAGUUCAGCGGUUGCAAGGCCGUUGCGGUUCAUUUCCGUUAACGAAUGUCCGAGGGUAGUCGUACUGACUACUAAAAGUAGGGUGGUACCACGUUAAUGAGCGUCCCUGCG
Molecule: non-coding RNA, 205 nt
Filed under: Weissella cibaria
Lineage: Bacteria; Bacillati; Bacillota; Bacilli; Lactobacillales; Lactobacillaceae
Description: T-box sequence
Rfam family: T-box leader
About the family: Uncharged tRNA acts as the effector for transcription antitermination of genes in the T-box leader family.
Source: RNAcentral